AGAAUAUUACAUUCUAAGCCUGAAGUUAUGAUAAUAAAACAGCAUACAAAAUUGUAAACGCGGCAACACAGAGGACAUGUCUUGAUCUUGUUUGGGAAAAUUUAUUGACAAAUAUGAUACUUUUAUUAUUAGAUCUUUUCAUUUUCUAUUUAUUGAUUUGCUAAUAACAUGUUUUUAAUGUUUUUUAUUUACACAUUUACUUGGGGCA
This 208-nucleotide long non-coding RNA is filed under the name Mytilus galloprovincialis (Mediterranean mussel). Lineage: Eukaryota; Metazoa; Mollusca; Bivalvia; Mytilida; Mytilidae. The record is from RNAcentral.